UGCAAGUCGAACGGCAGCACAGGAUAGCUUGCUAUCCGGGUGGCGAGUGGCGGACGGGUGAGUAACGCGUAGGAAUCUACCUUUUCGUGGGGGAUAACCCGGGGAAACUCGGGCUAAUACCGCAUACGCCCUACGGGGGAAAGCGGGGGACCUUCGGGCCUCGCGCGGAAUGAUGAGCCUGCGUCCUAUCAGGUAGUUGGUGAGGUAAUGGCCCACCAAGCCGACGACGGGUAGCUGGUCUGAGAGGACGACCAGCCACACUGGGACUGAGACACGGCCCAGACUCCUACGGGAGGCAGCAGUGGGGAAUAUUGGACAAUGGGGGAAACCCUGAUCCAGCAAUACCGCGUGUGUGAAGAAGGCCUUCGGGUUGUAAAGCACUUUUAGCAGGAAAGAAAGGCCGUGCGCUAAUACCGCAUGGUUCUGACGUUACUUGCAGA
This 440-nucleotide ribosomal RNA is filed under the name uncultured soil bacterium. Its description in RNAcentral is "bacterial SSU rRNA". It matches the Rfam family "Bacterial small subunit ribosomal RNA", at positions 56 to 485 of the family's 1533-position model. The record is from RNAcentral.